Molecule: non-coding RNA, 78 nt
Organism: Potamilus streckersoni
Lineage: Eukaryota; Metazoa; Mollusca; Bivalvia; Unionida; Unionidae
Source: the annotation of a GenBank genome assembly
GACUGCUCCGGUGGCAUAGUGGUUAGAGCGUCCGUCUCGGAUACGGGAGGUUCGUGGGUUCAAACCCCGGCCGAGUCA